UACGUAGGUGGCAAGCGUUAUCCGGAUUUAUUGGGUGUAAAGGGCGUGUAGGCGGGAAUGCAAGUCAGAUGUGAAAACUAUGGGCUCAACCCAUAGCCUGCAUUUGAAACUGUAUUUCUUGAGUGCUGGAGAGGCAAUCGGAAUUCCGUGUGUAGCGGUGAAAUGCGUAGAUAUACGGAGGAACACCAGUGGCGAAGGCGGAUUGCUGGACAGUAACUGACGCUGAGGCGCGAGAGCGUGGGGAGCAAACAGG
Molecule: ribosomal RNA, 253 nt
Filed under: uncultured bacterium
Lineage: Bacteria
Description: partial 16S ribosomal RNA
Rfam family: Bacterial small subunit ribosomal RNA
Source: RNAcentral